This 352-nucleotide ribosomal RNA is filed under the name uncultured bacterium. Its description in RNAcentral is "bacterial SSU rRNA". It matches the Rfam family "Bacterial small subunit ribosomal RNA", at positions 8 to 349 of the family's 1533-position model. The record is from RNAcentral.
AGAGUUUGAUCAUGGCUCAGGAUGAACGCUAGCUACAGGCUUAACACAUGCAAGUCGAGGGGAAACGACAUCGAAAGCUUGCCUUUGAUGGGCGUCGACCGGCGCACGGGUGAGUAACGCGUAUCCAACCUGCCCAUCACUUGGGGAUAACCUUGCGAAAGUAAGACUAAUACCCAAUGACGUCUCUAGAAGACAUCUGAAAGAGAUUAAAGAUUUAUCGGUGAUGGAUGGGGAUGCGUCUGAUUAGCUUGUUGGCGGGGUAACGGCCCACCAAGGCGACGAUCAGUAGGGGUUCUGAGAGGAAGGUCCCCCANAUUGGAACUGAGACACGGUCCAAACUCCUACGGGAGCA